This 452-nucleotide ribosomal RNA is filed under the name uncultured Sphingobacteriales bacterium. Its description in RNAcentral is "bacterial SSU rRNA". It matches the Rfam family "Bacterial small subunit ribosomal RNA", at positions 346 to 795 of the family's 1533-position model. The record is from RNAcentral. Lineage: Bacteria; Pseudomonadati; Bacteroidota; Sphingobacteriia; Sphingobacteriales.
AGGCUGCAGUAGGGAAUAUUGGUCAAUGGAGGCAACUCUGAACCAGCCAUGCCGCGUGCAGGACUAAGGCCCUAUGGGUCGUAAACUGCUUUUGAACGGGAAGAAAUGUAUCUACGUGUAGAUAUUUGACGGUACCGUUAGAAUAAGGAUCGGCUAACUUCGUGCCAGCAGCCGCGGUAAUACGAAGGAUCCAAGCGUUGUCCGGAUUUACUGGGUUUAAAGGGUGCGUAGGCGGACUUAUAAGUCAGUGGUGAAAGCCUUCAGCUUAACUGAAGAACUGCCAUUGAAACUGUAAGUCUCGAGUUCGGUUGAGGUCAUUGGAAUGUAACAUGUAGCGGUGAAAUGCAUAGAUAUGUUACAGAACACCAAUUGCGAAGGCAGAUGACUAAACCGAAACUGACGCUGAGGCACGAAAGCGUGGGGAUCAAACAGGAUUAGAUACCCGUGUAGUC